CCUACGGGAGGCAGCAGUGGGGAAUAUUGGACAAUGGGGGGAACCCUGAUCCAGCGACGCCGCGUGAGUGAAGAAGUAUUUCGGUAUGUAAAGCUCUAUCAGCGGGGAAGAAAAUGACGGUACCUGACUAAGAAGCCCCGGCUAACUACGUGCCAGCAGCCGCGGUAAUACGUAGGGGGCAAGCGUGAUACGGAUUUACUGGGUGUAAAGGGAGCGUAGGCGGUGCAGCAAGUCUGAUGUGAAAGGUCCGGGCGCAACCCCGGGACUGCAUCGGAGACUGUUGGACUGGAGUACAGGAGAGGUGAGCAGAAUUCCAAGUGUAGCGGUGAAAUGCGUAGAUAUCAGGAGGAACACCAGUGGCGAAGGCGGCCCACUGGACUGUAACUGACGUUGAGGCGCGAAAGCGUGGGGAGCAAACAGGAUUAGAUACCCGAGUAGUC
RNAcentral lists this ribosomal RNA (440 nucleotides) under uncultured bacterium. RNAcentral describes it as "partial 16S ribosomal RNA". It matches the Rfam family "Bacterial small subunit ribosomal RNA", at positions 338 to 795 of the family's 1533-position model. The record is from RNAcentral.